GAGUUUGAUCGUGGCUCAGAUUGAACGCUGGCGGCAUGCCUUACACAUGCAAGUCGAACGGUAACAGGUCUUCGGAUGCUGACGAGUGGCGAACGGGUGAGUAAUACAUCGGAACGUGCCCGAUCGUGGGGGGAUAACGAAGCGAAAGCUUUGCUAAUACCGCAUACGAUCUACGGAUGAAAGCAGGGGACCGCAAGGCCUUGCGCGAACGGAGCAGCCGAUGGCAGAUUAGGUAGUUGGUGGGAUAAAAGCUUACCAAGCCGACGAUCUGUAGCUGGUCUGAGAGGACGACCAGCCACACUGGGACUGAGACACGGCCCAGACUCCUACGGGAGGCAGCAGUGGGAAUUUUGGACAAUGGGCGAAAGCCUGAUCCAGCCAUGCCGCGUGCAGGAUGAAGGCCUCGGUUGUAAC
This 414-nucleotide ribosomal RNA is filed under the name uncultured microorganism. RNAcentral describes it as "bacterial SSU rRNA". It matches the Rfam family "Bacterial small subunit ribosomal RNA", at positions 9 to 429 of the family's 1533-position model. The record is from RNAcentral.